RNAcentral lists this long non-coding RNA (562 nucleotides) under Homo sapiens (human). RNAcentral describes it as "non-protein coding lnc-C19orf47-2:1". Lineage: Eukaryota; Metazoa; Chordata; Mammalia; Primates; Hominidae. The record is from RNAcentral.
GCGAGGGACAGCAAGCCGGGUCGGCCAAGAGGAGACUGCAUGUCAGAGGUCCCAGCAGGAGUUUCUUCAGCCCAGCCGUCCUGCUGGAGAAGCUCGUUCGCAGAUGUUGUUUCUAAGGGCUGGAGUGCAAUGGCGCGAUCUUGGCUCUCCACAACCUCCACCUCCCGGGUUCAAGCGAUUCUCCUGCCUCAGCCUCCCAAGUAGCAUGUGCCACCACGCCCAGCUAAUUUUCUGUUUUCAGUGGAGACAAGAUUUCUCCAUAUUGGUCAGGCUGGUCUCGAACUCCCGACCUCAGGUGAUCCGCCCACCUCAGCCUCCCAAAGUGCUGGGAUUACAGGCGUGAGCCACCGUGCCCGGCCUAAGCCAGCCAUCUUCUUGGCUGCAGUGGCUGGUAUUUCAUCACCACAGGACUGCGUCACGGACACCUCAGCUGAGGCACCACCCUCAGUGGGAGGACAGGGCAGGAUCCAGGCGGGACGCAGGGGAUCUUCCAACUCCUCCCCCUGCUCUCCCUCCAGCUGUGCUGACUCCUUAGUUGCUGAGAUGAGCUUGUAAAAAGCAG